RNAcentral lists this ribosomal RNA (497 nucleotides) under uncultured bacterium. RNAcentral describes it as "partial 16S ribosomal RNA". It matches the Rfam family "Bacterial small subunit ribosomal RNA", at positions 28 to 507 of the family's 1533-position model. The record is from RNAcentral.
GAUGAACGCUGGCGGCGUGCCUAAUACAUGCAAGUCGAGCGAACGGACGAGAAGCUUGCUUCUCUGAUGUUAGCGGCGGACGGGUGAGUAACACGUGGAUAACCUACCUAUAAGACUGGGAUAACUUCGGGAAACCGGAGCUAAUACCGGAUGAUAUUUUGAACCGCAUGGUUCAAAAGUGAAAGACGGUCUUGCUGUCACUUAUAGAUGGAUCCGCGCUGCAUUAGCUAGUUGGUAAGGUAACGGCUUACCAAGGCAACAAUGCAUAGCCGACCUGAGAGGGUGAUCGGCCACACUGGAACUGAGACACGGUCCAGACUCCUACGGGAGGCAGCAGUAGGGAAUCUUCCGCAAUGGGCGAAAGCCUGACGGAGCAACGCCGCGUGAGUGAUGAAGGUCUUCGGAUCGUAAAACUCUGUUAUUAGGGAAGAACAUAUGUGUAAGUAACUGUGCACAUCUUGACGGUACCUAAUCAGAAAGCCACGGCUAACUACGUG